This 549-nucleotide ribosomal RNA is filed under the name soil bacterium PL-P1-20. RNAcentral describes it as "bacterial SSU rRNA". It matches the Rfam family "Bacterial small subunit ribosomal RNA", at positions 355 to 896 of the family's 1533-position model. The record is from RNAcentral.
UGGGGAAUAUUGGACAAUGGGCGCAAGCCUGAUCCAGCCAUGCCGCGUGUGUGAAGAAGGCCUUCGGGUUGUAAAGCACUUUUGUCCGGAAAGAAAAGCUUAGGGUUAAUAACCCUGAGUCAUGACGGUACCGGAAGAAUAAGCACCGGCUAACUUCGUGCCAGCAGCCGCGGUAAUACGAAGGGUGCAAGCGUUACUCGGAAUUACUGGGCGUAAAGCGUGCGUAGGUGGUUUGUUAAGUCUGAUGUGAAAGCCCUGGGCUCAACCUGGGAAUGGCAUUGGAAACUGGCUUACUAGAGUGCGGUAGAGGGUAGCGGAAUUCCCGGUGUAGCAGUGAAAUGCGUAGAUAUCGGGAGGAACAUCCGUGGCGAAGGCGGCUACCUGGACCAGCACUGACACUGAGGCACGAAAGCGUGGGGAGCAAACAGGAUUAGAUACCCUGGUAGUCCACGCCCUAAACGAUGCGAACUGGAUGUUGGGGGCAACUUGGCCCUCAGUAUCGAAGCUAACGCGUUAAGUUCGCCGCCUGGGGAGUACGGCGCAAGACUG